RNAcentral lists this small RNA (87 nucleotides) under Pseudomonas flexibilis. RNAcentral's name for it is "Serpens flexibilis t44 RNA". It matches the Rfam family "t44 RNA". From Rfam's summary of the family: This family consists of a number of bacterial RNA genes of between 135 and 170 bases in length. Lineage: Bacteria; Pseudomonadati; Pseudomonadota; Gammaproteobacteria; Pseudomonadales; Pseudomonadaceae. The record is from Rfam by way of RNAcentral.
CCGUCAGGCGAUCAAAUCCGCACACGCGUCGACACGGUUUCCUGGGUGCCCGAAAGGGUUGGAGAUCGGGAUGCGUGGAGGCCUAAC